This 27-nucleotide non-coding RNA is filed under the name Mus musculus (house mouse). RNAcentral also lists the same sequence under 1 other name. Lineage: Eukaryota; Metazoa; Chordata; Mammalia; Rodentia; Muridae. The record is from RNAcentral.
UGACAUCUCUUGCUGAAGGAAACAAGU